This 861-nucleotide ribosomal RNA is filed under the name Resinicium bicolor. RNAcentral's name for it is "LSU rRNA". It matches the Rfam family "Eukaryotic large subunit ribosomal RNA", at positions 75 to 950 of the family's 3401-position model. The record is from RNAcentral. Lineage: Eukaryota; Fungi; Basidiomycota; Agaricomycetes; Hymenochaetales.
UUCCCCUAGUAACUGCGAGUGAAGAGGGAAAAGCUCAAAUUUAAAAUCUGGCAGCUUUGGCUGUCCGAGUUGUAAUCUGGAGAAGUGUUUUCAGUGCAGGACCGUGUACAAGUCUCUUGGAAUGGAGCAUCAUAGAGGGUGAGAAUCCCGUCUUUGACACGGACUACCUGUGCUUUGUGAUACACUCUCAAAGAGUCGAGUUGUUUGGGAAUGCAGCUCAAAAUGGGUGGUAAAUUCCAUCUAAAGCUAAAUAUUGGCGAGAGACCGAUAGCGAACAAGUACCGUGAGGGAAAGAUGAAAAGCACUUUGGAAAGAGAGUUAAACAGUACGUGAAAUUGUUGAAAGGGAAACGCUUGGAGUCAGUCGCGUUUGUUAGAACUCAGCUUGGCUUCUGCUUAGUGUACUUUCUAAUGAACGGGCCAACAUCGAUUUCAGUCAGUGGAUAAGGGUAAGAGGAAUGUGGCACCUUCGGGUGUGUUAUAGCCUCUUAUCGUAUACAUUUACUGGGAUCGAGGUCUGCAGCACUUGUGCUUAGGAUGUUGGCAUAAUGGCUUUAAUCGACCCGUCUUGAAACACGGACCAAGGAGUCUAACAUGCCCGCGAGUGUUAGGGUGGUAAACCCUUGCGCGUAAUGAAAGUGAAAGUUGGGACCUCUGUCAUGGGGGGCACCGACGCCCGGUCCAGAACUUCUGUGACGGUACUGCGGUAGAGCGUGUAUGUUGGGACCCGAAAGAUGGUGAACUAUGCCUGAAUAGGGUGAAGCCAGAGGAAACUCUGGUGGAGGCUCGUAGCGAUUCUGACGUGCAAAUCGAUCGUCAAAUUUGGGUAUAGGGGCGAAAGACUAAUCGAACCAUCUAGUAU